GUGGGGAAUAUUGGACAAUGGGCGAAAGCCUGAUCCAGCCAUGCCGCGUGUGUGAAGAAGGUCUUCGGAUUGUAAAGCACUUUAAGUUGGGAGGAAGGGCAGUAAGUUAAUACCUUGCUGUUUUGACGUUACCGACAGAAUAAGCACCGGCUAACUUCGUGCCAGCAGCCGCGGUAAUACGAAGGGUGCAAGCGUUAAUCGGAAUUACUGGGCGUAAAGCGCGCGUAGGUGGUUUUGUAAGUUGGAGGUGAAAUCCCCGAGCUCAACCUGGGAACUGCCUCCAAAACUGCAUGACUAGAGUACGGUAGAGGGUAGUGGAAUUUCCUGUGUAGCGGUGAAAUGCGUAGAUAUAGGAAGGAACACCAGUGGCGAAGGCGACUACCUGGACUGAUACUGACACUGAGGUGCGAAAGCGUGGGGAGCAAACAGGAUUAGAAACCCUAGUAGUCC
RNAcentral lists this ribosomal RNA (450 nucleotides) under uncultured bacterium. Its description in RNAcentral is "bacterial SSU rRNA". It matches the Rfam family "Bacterial small subunit ribosomal RNA", at positions 354 to 796 of the family's 1533-position model. The record is from RNAcentral.